UCAGAUGGCUGGGUGAUCGCGGARGUGCAAACUUUCGAGGAAAGUCCGGGCUCCACAGAGACAAGGUGCCGGGUAACUCCCGGCGGGCGCGAGCCUAGGGAAAGUGCCACAGAAAGCAAACCGCCAUUUUAGCUUCUGGCUAAAAUGGUAAGGGUGAAAGGGUGCGGUAAGAGCGCACCGCUUGGCUGGCAACAGUUAAGGUCACGGCAAACCCCACUUGGAGCAAAACCAAAUAGGAAUGGCGCAUGGCGUGUCUUUGCGCUGCUGUUCGGGUCGGUUGCACGAGGUAUCUGGUAACAGAUGCCCCAGAUGAAUGAUCGCCUCUCUUGGCCUUGGUCAAGAUGACAGAACCCGGCUUACAGGCCAUCUGAUCCA
RNAcentral lists this RNase P RNA (375 nucleotides) under Robiginitomaculum sp. RNAcentral's name for it is "RNase P RNA component class A". It matches the Rfam family "Bacterial RNase P class A". From Rfam's summary of the family: Ribonuclease P (RNase P) is a ubiquitous endoribonuclease, found in archaea, bacteria and eukarya as well as chloroplasts and mitochondria. Its best characterised activity is the generation of mature 5'-ends of tRNAs by cleaving the 5'-leader elements of precursor-tRNAs. Lineage: Bacteria; Pseudomonadati; Pseudomonadota; Alphaproteobacteria; Maricaulales; Robiginitomaculaceae. The record is from RNAcentral.